GGUAAGAUACUCAAGUGGCCGAAGAGGUCUCACUGCUAACGAGAUAGGUCGUAAACAAGCGACGCGAGGGUUCGAAUCCCUCUCUUACCU
RNAcentral lists this transfer RNA (90 nucleotides) under Lactobacillus amylovorus. Its description in RNAcentral is "tRNA-Ser". It matches the Rfam family "tRNA". Rfam says of the family: Transfer RNA (tRNA) molecules are approximately 80 nucleotides in length. Their secondary structure includes four short double-helical elements and three loops (D, anti-codon, and T loops). Lineage: Bacteria; Bacillati; Bacillota; Bacilli; Lactobacillales; Lactobacillaceae. The record is from RNAcentral.